UCCAUUGUCAGGUCAGAGAAGUUUCCCCCCU
Molecule: non-coding RNA, 31 nt
Filed under: Rattus norvegicus (Norway rat)
Lineage: Eukaryota; Metazoa; Chordata; Mammalia; Rodentia; Muridae
Source: RNAcentral